GAUGAACGCUGGCGGCGUGCCUAAUACAUGCAAGUAGAACGCUGAAGCUUGGUGCUUGCACCGAGCGGAUGAGUUGCGAACGGGUGAGUAACGCGUAGGCAACCUGCCUCUUAGCGGGGGAUAACUAUUGGAAACGAUAGCUAAUACCGCAUAAAAGUCGAUAUCGCAUGAUAUUGAUUUGAAAGGUGCAAAUGCAUCACUAAGAGAUGGACCUGCGUUGUAUUAGCUAGUUGGUGAGGUAACGGCUCACCAAGGCGACGAUACAUAGCCGACCUGAGAGGGUGAUCGGCCACACUGGGACUGAGACACGGCCCAGACUCCUACGGGAGGCAGCAGUAGGGAAUCUUCGGCAAUGGGGGCAACCCUGACCGAGCAACGCCGCGUGAGUGAAGAAGGUUUUCGGAUCGUAAAGCUCUGUUGUAAGAGAAGAACGAGUGUGAGAGUGGAAAGUUCACACUGUGACGGUAACUUACCAGAAAGGGACGGCUAACUACGUG
Molecule: ribosomal RNA, 497 nt
Filed under: uncultured bacterium
Lineage: Bacteria
Description: partial 16S ribosomal RNA
Rfam family: Bacterial small subunit ribosomal RNA
Source: RNAcentral